GAUGAACGCUGGCGGCGUGCCUAAUACAUGCAAGUCGAGCGAACAGACGAGGAGCUUGCUCCUCUGACGUUAGCGGCGGACGGGUGAGUAACACGUAGAUAACCUACCUAUAAGACUGGGAUAACUUCGGGAAACCGGAGCUAAUACCGGAUAAUAUAUUGAACCGCAUGGUUCAAUAGUGAAAGACGGUUUUGCUGUCACUUAUAGAUGGAUCCGCGCCGCAUUAGCUAGUUGGUAAGGUAACGGCUUACCAAGGCGACGAUGCGUAGCCGACCUGAGAGGGGGAGAGGCCAGCGUGGAAAUGAGACACGGUCCAGACGCCUACGGGAGGCAGCAGUAGGGAAUCUUCCGCAAUGGGCGAAAGCCUGACGGAGCAACGCCGCGUGAGUGAUGAAGGUCUUCGGAUCGUAAAACUCUGUUAUUAGGGAAGAACAAAUGUGUAAGUAACUAUGCACGUCUUGACGGUACCUAAUCAGAAAGCCACGGCUAACUACGUG
Molecule: ribosomal RNA, 497 nt
Filed under: uncultured bacterium
Lineage: Bacteria
Description: partial 16S ribosomal RNA
Rfam family: Bacterial small subunit ribosomal RNA
Source: RNAcentral